AAAAUAGGGCUUUUUUCUUUUUUCGUCAGCAAGCUUAUUUUUUUCCGAUAAAAAGCCUAAACCACCGGGAUAACGUGGGGUUAUCCAUGUUAUGUGAAGGGACCUGAUAUAUUUCUUAUGUAUAGGCCUAUUUUCUGAAUUGCAAAUCAACCAACUGCUGUGUAGUGAAUUCUUCAGCGAAAGUUGCAUGGAGACAGGCGCGAGAAGGCGCCAGAAGAGCUGAGCGAGAGCACGCGAAAUCAAAUAUACAUAAUAACAAUAAUAUACGACAAGUACGAAUGAGAGCGAUACGGAGAGGCAGCUCUUGUGCAGAGUUGGUAGAUGAAAAUGUAUGUAGCCUUCAUUACAUGCGCUCCACGUAACGUUCCUGAGCGAUGCCUUUUGGCCCCUGGCCCCUGCUAUAUGAGGAUGCAUAAAGACAGGAAUGGAGGAGGAGGAGAAGGCGGAGGAGAGGAAGAAAGGAGACGAGCAACGAUGAAAAGUGGGAGCUGCAGCCUGAAACGUUGUACCGACUUGGGGAAACCCAGAGCUGUCCAACAGUAAUGGUGAGAGGCUAACUUGACGAAGAAGGGCUACGCCAUGUUACAUCCUGGCCAGAAACGUCGACUCUCUUGGGAUUUCAUCGUCUCCAUUGAGAAAGAUGUUCGUGGUGGGGGCUCAGAGCAGUGUGAAUAACUACUACUGACGUAACUCACAAAACAGAUGGACGUGACAUAUGAAGAGUGCUGAAUGUAUUUCUAUCCUAAUUUACAAUUACAUGUGGAAUUGUUGUAUUCAUUUGAUGGGUAUAGACUGUAAGUCAUGUCCCUUUGAUGCACGCUCAUAAGAUCUCAAAUGCUGAAAUAUCUUUUCAUUGGUUGUAAACGUUUUUGCCACAUUUUUGUUGUUGUUGCUGUCUUUAAUUUAGAGAUGAAUUCUGAUGGACCUUUAUAAAAUGGCACUAUAGUUGGUAAAGUUAAGUCAUAAGCUAUCUAAGCAGGAUGAUACAUAAAAUAGGCUACCUCUUAAUGAAUAACCCCUGUUUGAGUAAUAUCCUAUCACCUGAAGAGAUAUAUUAAUAAUGUAAGAAUAUUCUGUCAAUUUGCUACUAUGCCAAAUAGGCUACGUUACAAAAGUGAGAUAAACGUCUGAAACGCCAGUUCAUCCAAGCCAUUACGUAGGCGCUACCUAUCACGUAUAUAUCGAAUGAUCUUCACUUCUGUCAAAGAAUGCAAAUGGUUGAAUGAUGACUUGUCAAAAGUCAAUCGUUUUUUCCUACUGUGCACAUUUUGCUGAGCACAUUGCAUUGGUAAAAUGUUCUAAGGCAUUUGUGGUUUGUUCAUAUUUCAUGUUUAGUUUACAUGUCGGUGCAGGCAUACAGCUAAUAGACUAUGGCGACAGCGGGGUGUCUUCCAGGCAAGAAUAUCCCAGGAUACACUGUUGUGAGACGCUCUGUCUGGAUUGCAGGCUGACGCACUGUACAUCAAAAUGCCCAACAACAAGUCUACAUUUUUCCACAGUCGUGACAUCGCGCAAAGGAGACGCAUAUUCUCUCAAUAAUCAUGUUCGAGAUGUCAUUGUGGCUCACAAAUGUACAGUGCAACGGAAUAAAAUGUUAGAAAUUCAC
Oncorhynchus tshawytscha (Chinook salmon) is the source of this 1606-nucleotide long non-coding RNA. NCBI's taxonomy places the organism in Eukaryota, Metazoa, Chordata, Actinopteri, Salmoniformes, Salmonidae. The record is from Ensembl.